This 599-nucleotide ribosomal RNA is filed under the name uncultured bacterium. RNAcentral's name for it is "bacterial SSU rRNA". It matches the Rfam family "Bacterial small subunit ribosomal RNA", at positions 338 to 956 of the family's 1533-position model. The record is from RNAcentral.
CCUACGGGAGGCAGCAGUGGGGAAUAUUGGACAAUGGGCGAAAGCCUGAUCCAGCAAUGCCGCGUGAGUGAUGAAGGCCUUCGGGUCGUAAAGCUCUUUUACCAGGGAUGAUAAUGACAGUACCUGGAGAAUAAGCUCCGGCUAACUCCGUGCCAGCAGCCGCGGUAAUACGGAGGGAGCUAGCGUUGUUCGGAAUUACUGGGCGUAAAGAGUACGUAGGCGGUUAUUCAAGUCAGAGGUGAAAGCCCGGGGCUCAACCCCGGAACUGCCUUUGAAACUAGAUAACUAGAGUCUUGGAGAGGUUAGUGGAAUUCCGAGUGUAGAGGUGAAAUUCGUAGAUAUUCGGAAGAACACCAGUGGCGAAGGCGACUAACUGGACAAGUACUGACGCUGAGGUACGAAAGCGUGGGGAGCAAACAGGAUUAGAUACCCUGGUAGUCCACGCCGUAAACGAUGAUAACUAGUUGUUCGGUCACUUGGUGACUGAGUGACGCAGCUAACGCAUUAAGUUAUCCGCCUGGGGAGUACGGUCGCAAGAUUAAAACUCAAAUGAAAUUGACCGGNGUGUAGAGUUAGCGACGACGACGACGAGGAGGAGG